Molecule: Y RNA, 103 nt
Organism: Callithrix jacchus (white-tufted-ear marmoset)
Lineage: Eukaryota; Metazoa; Chordata; Mammalia; Primates; Cebidae
Rfam family: Y RNA
About the family: Y RNAs are components of the Ro ribonucleoprotein particle (Ro RNP), in association with Ro60 and La proteins.
Source: Ensembl
GGCUGGUGUGAAGGGAGCUGUUUCAAUUGACUGUUCAGUCACAGAUCAAACUCCUUGUUUCUACUUUUUCCCUCUUUUCCCUACUAUACUUGACUAGUCUUAA